CGUCCCAUUCAUUCUCUAAACACGGAAUGGAACGAUCCGUUUAUUUGAACUGAAAUAUCUUUCUUAGAAGACGCCGUUCCACCACUUGGUAUGGAAGCAAAGGGAUCUAAAAUUAAAACACUACGUCCGUAUCGGCAAGAACGCAUUUUAUGAUGGUUUCCAAUGGCACAAUAACAAUUAGAAGGUAUAAGAAAGAAGGUAUAGUGGCCGACAAAGGGCUAUAGAUCGCCAAGCGGUUUUGCAACCGACUUCUAAGAAUAUCGAGCACACCACGUGCGUUCCUUCCUUCCCUCAUCGAAAUCUUCCGCUUCGAUUACUUUCUGUUUUCUCCGGCGUUGUAAAAGGUCUUCGAACGUCUUACACAACUUUUAUCAUUGUUUAGAUUAGAUUUUAUGUAAUCUGAGAGCUCAGAAGUGCUGGACGUGAUCUUUCGCGUGAAAUUCUUUGUUUGUUUUCAACGAAUAAAAGUCCAUCGUAGCCGUUGCCAAAACGGAAAGCAUGUCUCGGCAAGUGCCCGACCUUGUCACGCUUCUUCUUUUCUAAUAAUGUACUCUCGAAUACAGACCGCAAGCCGUCUCCAUUGAGUAGUGCUCUUUGCUAUUUAUAAAAGGCACAAACCACGCAGUUUAGUGUUUACUGUUUGCAUUCUGCCAGUGGUGUAACAAGUGCAACCGACGCCAUUCGUCUAUAUGUAUUGUACAUGUAACAAUCUGGUAGGCAGGCUAAGGAGUAUAAGUGAGAUCUUCGACACGAUAAAUGCGCUAAUAUUCUCUACACUGCAGUCUUUUCCUUAUGAUUUUAACAGUGCAAAUCAAUUUUAUUUCUUCCCUGCCUUUUACCUAAGAUUCUAAUAGUAUAUCCAAAUUCUGACAUCUGAUCUUACAUUGCACUUUAAAAUGUUUUAUGUAGAAUAUUAAAAUAUUAUAAAAUAUUUUAAAGAAUAUUCUUCUUCUAGUAGUAAUAUUAUAGAAUAUUAUGAUCCAUUUUGUUCUAUUGGAAUAAUAAAAUUUAAUAAAAUAAUAUAAACAAAGAAUGUUGUGCAUUUAUUAUUUUCUUAGAAAACGAAAGAAACCUUUGGGACAACCUGAUACAAUAUUUACUAUAAACUACGAAUUCUUAUGUAUUUAUAAUAUUUAGUAAGUACACCACCCUUACUUGUUUUUAUAAAAAUACGAAUUUGCAGAAAUAUAAUAUAAUUCUUCUUACUUAUACCCUCCCCCAGAAAGUAGUCAAAAUAUAGGUUAGGAAUCUUCGAAUUGAAUUAGAAAGGAAACAGGUGGCUCCCUAAAAUAGAAAUCAUGUUAGAGGAAUAGUUACAGAUUCAAUUUGAAUGGAUUUAGCAAAACGCGAGAAGAUUAAAGGAAAGAGGAAACAAGACUUAUCGUUGUCCAAGGUUUUGAAGAGGCACCGCUACCUACUUGCGAUAUCAGGUUCCACGACUGUUUAUCUGUUCUCUACAAACCAGGAAAAAAGAUACACUUGAGCUAACCAACAUGUAAGGUAAAUACAGAAUAGAAGUUAUGAAAUUCUUCCUAAUUCUUUUCAAUUAAGUCCUAUGGUUGACAAAAUUCUUUUAAAUUUGUUCAGAAGUAUUUCCAAAGACACCUGUUUAAGUAUAGGGUUGUCCAAAAGUUCGUUAAUUUCUAUUAUAGAUUUUUAUCAAAUAAUAAAACAUUCAAAUAUACGAAUACUAUCCUUAGAGAAUCAAACUGAAUAUUUGUUAAUAAAAUAAGUCUCUUUUCUUCAAUGAGAUGAACACUUAACCUCGUACAUCCAGGAAAUUUUGAGUCAUGGAAUGUUCACUUCCAUUUCUAUUUAUCUCGAGUUACUGAACAUAGCGCAAUUUCAACGUUAUUUGUUCUAGUCUUUAUAAAACUUAUUCAGAAGACACAAACAAGAAAUGAAAUACUUUAGAAGCUUGUAAAAGCUAUUUGAAAGAAUUAAUUUUCGAUAAAAGAUGAGAAAUUUUUGUAGGAGAGACUGACGAAGUUACAGAUGGCAAAAAUUCAAAUUCUCGAUGGAUCUUUCCUAAAUUUCGCUAAGAAUUUUCUUAAUAUAAUAUGCUUAGCACGUUUUAAGUUACCAAAAUAGCAUCUACAAGUAUCUUGCAAUUGCCUAGGAAGGAAAGCUUGCCAUGUAUGCACAGCCUCGAAUAAAAAUCGAUAGAAAGAGACCCAUUCCGCCUCUUGUUUUCGAACUGACUUUAUAAAUAAACAACGAGAAGCACAUUGUGGCGGGUAUCGUUGAUGGACAACAUGUUUAUAGCCGUUGGAACAGAGGGAACUUGAUGAAUCGAACAGUUGUUGAGAAGAACGGGAGAUUGGUCGUUAAAUGUAGCGAAGAACGCAAUCAUUAUCGGAAUUUAUCUGGAAGUUGAAGGGGUGUGCAUGCUGAGAUGUUUCUCCCGAGAGUCCAGACUCGAAUGGGGGGCGUCACCGAUAACAUGUUUUGGAAUUCGAAAUGGAACUGUCCGAAGGACAAUGAUUAUUAUCCAAGGAGGAAAAGGAGCGUGCGAAGAGACACAGGAAAUAUCGAUGGUAGGUAUCUUCGAGACUGUUGGUCGUACAAUGCCCGCGAGCAAAUUACACUUUGCAGAUAAAUUAUACGACUUGACGUGUCUUCGAAUAGAUUAUCAUAGGCACUUUCCAUUGCUGCACGUUUACGUGUCGAAUUAAGAGAAUUACGUAAACUGUCUUUACCAUAAUGAAUGAUUUUAUCCCGAGUGAAUGAACAGCAAUUUAUCGGAAAAUUCGUUUUUAAGGAUAAAAGUAAUCUUAAAUUAAAUUUCCUAUAAACGUAUAAAAAUCCCCAGUUUAGUGACAAGCAAGAAGCCCCACGAAUGGUGCGAAUCACCUUAAUUUCUCGUUUCUCAAUUUCUGAAUGACGGUAUGAUUAACGACGAGCACGAUAGCGACCACGGGGAUCUCCGUAAAUAUCUAUUCAUCACGUUGAAAUUACGAAAAAGCAGGCUGAGCCGUUGAUAAUCGACUUUUCUUGAGGGAAGGCGAGGUUAGCUAUAAUCAGGAAAAGAAAUCAUGCCAGUAAUUGCAUUACUGGUUUACUACGGCAAAAUAAUGUUCAUCGCCAAGAGAAAAUUUGUUAUUCUUAUACGUAUUACCUUUGAUUUUAAUUUUAUUAUCUAAGAUGUUUUUUUGGUUAGCUACGGACAGGGAUCUAGAUUGUGCAACUUGUGAAAGAACGAUGAUUGAUAAUUAUGCGGUUUAUAUUAGACUUUCCCUAAUUUUCACUAUGUAAUUCUCUUUUUUUUUUUUUUUUUUUUUAAGCUUUCUCUUAUCCUCAAAAUACGAAAUUUCAAUGGGUAGGGAGCUCGAGAAAUGAACCUACGUUUUAUUAUUUUAUUCAGGAAGAGUCAAAUUUUAAAAUUUCUUCCAUAUUUCGUCAAACUAAAUAAAGAUGUAUUUUAGAUGUA
Long non-coding RNA from Bombus huntii, 3430 nucleotides. RefSeq lists it as uncharacterized. Lineage: Eukaryota; Metazoa; Arthropoda; Insecta; Hymenoptera; Apidae. The record is from RefSeq and is a predicted model, not a curated record. The transcript has 3 exons.